UGGGGUGCAGUUGGUGGUGGUGGUGGUGGCAGCGAUGGUGGUGGUGGCAGUGAUAGUGAUGGUGGUGGUGAAAGUAAUAGAAGUAACUAAACUAAUCAAGAUUGCAAGCAAAAUUUUGGAAGACUUAAGGUUGGUCUCACCUGGACAUGGGUCUUUGUUUUUCCCUUAGGGUCAGGCCUAAGCUCAAAGGAUUCAGGCAAAUUAGGCCCUGACGUAGUAGGAGUGUAGGACUCCAGGCCUUAUCCUGGCUUGGGCCCAUCCAUGCUUAUCCUUGUUUAGAGCUAUAUAUUGUAAUACAUUAAAAUGGCUACAUUUGAUAAUAAUUGGGUGAAUGGGUGGACAGGAGUUUAUUUGGGUUAAUUGAAUAUGGGUGCCCAUAUGCCAAGUGUGCUUAUAUCUGGCAUCUCUUGUUUGUACUUUUGUAAUUUGGUUCUGCUGGAUGGUUA
Molecule: unclassified non-coding RNA, 446 nt
Filed under: Hevea brasiliensis (rubber tree)
Lineage: Eukaryota; Viridiplantae; Streptophyta; Magnoliopsida; Malpighiales; Euphorbiaceae
Source: RNAcentral